Molecule: ribosomal RNA, 227 nt
Filed under: uncultured bacterium
Lineage: Bacteria
Description: partial 16S ribosomal RNA
Rfam family: Bacterial small subunit ribosomal RNA
Source: RNAcentral
CUGAACCAGCCAAGUAGCGUGAAGGAUGACUGCCCUAUGGGUUGUAAACUUCUUUUAUACGGGAAUAAAGUGAGGCACGUGUGCCUUUUUGUAUGUACCGUAUGAAUAAGGAUCGGCUAACUCCGUGCCAGCAGCCGCGGUAAUACGGAGGAUCCGAGCGUUAUCCGGAUUUAUUGGGUUUAAGGGGAGCGUAGGCGGACAGUUAAGUCAGUUGUGAAAGUUUGCGG